UCGACCAAGGCACUUGGUCGCGUUCAGUUUCAAAAUCUGCGAGAAAGAAUUGGCGUCAUCAACCUCUACCGCAACUAGAUUAGGGGGAGAAUUGUUGUUUUAAUCAUGUUGCUAGUAGAGUAGUAGUAGCUAAGGUAGUAGAGUUCAAAACAAACUUGAACUCAGCCGUUGCUUAGUAGCUAAGGUAGUAGAGUUCAAAUCAAAUUUGAACUCCAUCUCUAGGAUAGACGGUUCCUAGGAUAGACGGUUCCUGAGUCCUAUAUAAGGACAUGUACUCAUCACUUGUAAGAUAAGCUAUUACGUAGAGAAAUAAAUCAAGAGCUUCAGCAUCA
This is a non-coding RNA of Lolium perenne, 332 nucleotides long. NCBI's taxonomy places the organism in Eukaryota, Viridiplantae, Streptophyta, Magnoliopsida, Poales, Poaceae. The record is from RefSeq and is a predicted model, not a curated record.